GGCGCCAAAAACAAAACUGGCGGGAAAGACAGACAUCAAAUGCUCUUCUCUACUCGCAGGAAGCCAUCCAGCCCUAAUUCUUCAACAUUAUCAUUUUGUUCUACUCCAAAUUUAUUGGAAACGGUUUUGGUCUUGGGAGAGUGGAGAGCGAGGUGGAGAGUUGUGGAGCCUUCAAGGUAUUUCGCCAGACAUCAAACCAUUACAACAUUCAUUCUCAUUUACUGACUAUAUAGAAGAGUUGGAGAAUAGCAAUAUUAGUUUAUUUUAAGGCAGAAAUUCGCGUAUUGAAAAUUGAAAUUUUUUGGAUUUCUUGAA
Molecule: long non-coding RNA, 315 nt
Organism: Nematostella vectensis (starlet sea anemone)
Lineage: Eukaryota; Metazoa; Cnidaria; Anthozoa; Actiniaria; Edwardsiidae
Exons: 2
Source: RefSeq, a predicted model, not a curated record